GACGAACGCUGGCGGCGUGCCUAAUACAUGCAAGUCGAACGCUGAAGGAGGAGCUUGCUCUUCUGGAUGAGUUGCGAACGGGUGAGUAACGCGUAGGUAACCUGCCUGGUAGCGGGGGAUAACUUUUGGAAACGAUAGCUAAUACCGCAUCAGAGUAGAUGUUGCAUGACAUUUGCUUAAAAGGUGCAAUUGCAUCACUACCAGAUGGACCUGCGUUGUAUUCGCUAGUUGGUGGGGUAAGGGCUCACCAAGGCGACGAUACAUAUCCGGCCUGGGAGGGUGGACGGCCACACUGGGACUGGGACACGGCCCAGACUCCUACGGGGAGCAGCAGUAGGGAAUCUUCGGCAAUGGACGGAAAUCUGACCGAGCAACGCCGCGGGAGGGAAGAAGGUUUUCGGAGCGUAAAGCUCUGUUGUAAGAGAAGAACGAGUGUGAGAGUGGAAAGUUCACACUGUGACGGUAUCUUACCAGAAAGCGACGGCUAACUACGUG
Molecule: ribosomal RNA, 495 nt
Filed under: uncultured bacterium
Lineage: Bacteria
Description: partial 16S ribosomal RNA
Rfam family: Bacterial small subunit ribosomal RNA
Source: RNAcentral